AUUGAACGCUGGCGGCGUGCCUAACACAUGCAAGUCGAGCGGUAACAGGUGUAGCAAUACAUGCUGACGAGCGGCGAACGGGUGAGUAAUGCUUCGGAAUCUGCCCAUGUAGUGGGGAAUAACCAGCCGAAAGGUUGGCUAAUACCGCAUACGACCCUUGCCCACAAGGCAAAGGUGAAAGCAGGGGAUCGCAAGACCUUGCGCUAUUGGAUGAGCCGAAGUCGGAUUAGCUAGUUGGUAGGGUAACGGCCUACCAAGGCGACGAUCCGUAGCUGGUCUGAGAGGACGACCAGCCACACUGGGACUGAGACACGGCCCAGACUCCUACGGGAGGCAGCAGUGGGGAAUCUUGCGCAAUGGGCGAAAGCCUGACGCAGCGACGCCGCGUGAGGGAUGACGGCCU
RNAcentral lists this ribosomal RNA (403 nucleotides) under uncultured bacterium. RNAcentral's name for it is "bacterial SSU rRNA". It matches the Rfam family "Bacterial small subunit ribosomal RNA", at positions 29 to 417 of the family's 1533-position model. The record is from RNAcentral.